AAACCAUGAUGGGGACAUAACCUGAACAUCCCUUUAAACCUAUCCCAAGCUUCAUACAAAGAUUUAGUCACAUUCUGUUAGAAGCUAGCAAUCAAAUUCAUCAUGU
Zingiber officinale is the source of this 106-nucleotide small nucleolar RNA. The record is from RefSeq and is a predicted model, not a curated record. NCBI's taxonomy places the organism in Eukaryota, Viridiplantae, Streptophyta, Magnoliopsida, Zingiberales, Zingiberaceae.